UACGGAGUGUGCGAGCGUUACUCGGAAUCACUGGGCAUAAAGCGCGCGUAGGCGGGCUUUCAAGUCGGGUGUGAAAUCCCUCAGCUCAACUGAGGAACUGCAUCCGAAACUGUUUGUCUUGAGGACGGGAGGGGAGAGUGGAACUUCUGGUGGAGCGGUGAAAUGCGUAGAUAUCAGAAGGAACGCCGGUGGCGAAAGCGACUCUCUGGCCCGUAUCUGACGCUGAGGCGCGAAAGCUUGGGUAGCAAACGGG
RNAcentral lists this ribosomal RNA (253 nucleotides) under uncultured bacterium. RNAcentral describes it as "partial 16S ribosomal RNA". It matches the Rfam family "Bacterial small subunit ribosomal RNA", at positions 524 to 776 of the family's 1533-position model. The record is from RNAcentral.